CAGGGUGCCUUGACUUGCCCGUGCUCUGUGCAUGGUAAUGCAGAGACUGCUGGGGCCCGUAAAUAGCAGCGUAUGCUGUUCUUCCUUCCCUCCCUCCUUCAGUUGUCCGUGAAAAUGUAAAUAAAUGGAAGGAGGGGAAGGUCGAAGCUCGGUCCCUGUGCAGCCCUGCAACGGCUGGGAGAUGUGCCUGGGUGACCUUCAGCCCCGCUCCUGCUCCAGCCCUGUGAUGGACAGUCUGCAGAGAGCUCGCCGGUGUGAUUAACCGCUUUAACGAGAGCAUCUAGUAAACAUUUUACUGUUUUAGUAAAAGCUUCUCUUUAUUAAAAGCAUCUACAGCCUGGCCCUGACCCUGAUAGGCACAAACAUCCCCGAGAUCAAGAAGUCCUGAGCAUGUGCCUGAUGGCUCCUGGAGCAGGGACAGACUUAAGCCACGGAAACAUCGCUGCCUUGGGAUGCUGUUGGGCAGACAAGAUGCAUUACUAACACGAGCUGGCUUUGGCCAGUGUCUUAUCAGGAACAAGAGCGAGAGGUGCCACGCAGACCCGCCGGGGCCCUGCAAGGCGCCGGUGCCCUGCCAGGUUUGGCAGGCAGCAGCCGUGGGAGCUGCUGCAUCACCCACCUGAACCCCGAAACGCUGUUGUGACAUCGUGUCUAUCCAGCAGACUUUGGGGAAGAGGCACAGCUGUGAAGAAAGCAGUCUCUCCCUUCAGAGUUUGGUGGAUGUUUCUCCAACACCCAAAAAUCAACAGAAAAAAACAGAUUUGCAAGAGGAUUUAAGAGGCAUCAAGUUGCCUGGAUACCAGAUCCUGAUCGGCAACGUUUCUGGUUUUCAAAGGCAAACUCCGGCUCCAAAGAAAGGAAUUGCUAAACAUUUAUCACACCUUGCCUGGAGGGGAAAUGACAAAGAGAGCUUGGCACUAGGAGCCUGCCCUCCCCUCUGCCUGCAGGAGCCGGCUACAACGCACAGCCUGCGUGGCACGGCCGUGGGCAGGAGCUCGGCUCUGAGGAACUGCUUGGGAAAGCUGUCCCUAAAUUUUGGGAGCAUUGUGGUGGUGGGAAGCCUGGGGCUGCCCAGGGUACCACCUUCCAGGGGUCCUGGCUUCCCCCUGGGGUGCCAGAGCUGCACUGGGGCAGUCCUGAGAGCAGCGAUGGGGAAGAGGGAGAGGAUGGGCUGUGGGUGGGGGUGGC
Long non-coding RNA from Falco peregrinus (peregrine falcon), 1188 nucleotides. RefSeq lists it as uncharacterized. Lineage: Eukaryota; Metazoa; Chordata; Aves; Falconiformes; Falconidae. The record is from RefSeq and is a predicted model, not a curated record. The transcript is spliced from 3 exons.